RNAcentral lists this ribosomal RNA (834 nucleotides) under archaeon enrichment culture. RNAcentral describes it as "bacterial SSU rRNA". It matches the Rfam family "Archaeal small subunit ribosomal RNA", at positions 20 to 859 of the family's 1478-position model. The record is from RNAcentral.
GCGGCCACCGCUAUCAAGUUCCGACUAAGCCAUGCGAGUCAAGGUAUCGUAAGAUGCCGGCAAACUGCUCAGUAACACGUGGAUAAUCUAACCUUGAGUAAGGGAUAACCUCGGGAAACUGAGGAUAAUACCUUAUAAUUGCUUAAAACUGGAAUGUUUAAGCAAUAAAAGUUCCGACGCUCAAGGAUGAGUCUGCGACCUAUCAGGUAGUAGGUGGUGUAAUGGACCACCUAGCCUCAGACGGGUACGGGCCCUGGGAGGGGUAGCCCGGAGAUGGACUCUGAGACAUCAGUCCAGGCCCUACGGGGCGCAGCAGGCGCGAACACUGUGCAAUGCGCGAAAGCGCGACACGGGGAGCUUGAGUGUCUUGGCAUAGCCAAGACUUUUCUCAUUCCUAAAAAGCAUGAGGAAUAAGUGCUGGGUAAGACGGGUGCCAGCCGCCGCGGUAACACCCGCAGCACAAGUGGUGGUCACUUUUAUUGAGCCUAAAGCGUUCGUAGCCGGUUUUGUAAAUCUUUAGAUAAAGCCUGAAGCUUAACUCCAGAAAGUCUGAAGAGACUGCAAGACUUGAGAUCGGGUGAGGUUAAACGUACUUUCAGGGUAGGGGUAAAAUCCUGUAACCCCGGAAGGACGACCAGUGGCGAAAGCGUUUAACUAGAACGAAUCUGACGGUAAGGAACGAAGGCUAGGGUAGCAAACCGGAUUAGAUACCCGGGUAGUCCUAGCUGUAAACACUGCCCAUUUGAUGUUGCUUUUCCGUUGAGGGAAGGCAGUGUCGGAGCGAAGGUGUUAAAUGGGCCGCUUGGGAAGUAUGGUCGCAAGACUGAAACUUAA